RNAcentral lists this ribosomal RNA (253 nucleotides) under uncultured bacterium. Its description in RNAcentral is "partial 16S ribosomal RNA". It matches the Rfam family "Bacterial small subunit ribosomal RNA", at positions 524 to 776 of the family's 1533-position model. The record is from RNAcentral.
UACGUAGGGCGCAAGCGUUGUCCGGAAUUAUUGGGCGUAAAGAGCUCGUAGGUGGCUUGUCGCGUCUGCCGUGAAAGCCCGUGGCUUAACUACGGGUCUGCGGUGGAUACGGGCAGGCUAGAGGCUGGUAGGGGCAAGCGGAAUUCCUGGUGUAGCGGUGAAAUGCGCAGAUAUCAGGAGGAACACCGGUGGCGAAGGCGGCGUGCUGGGCCAGUUCUGACGCUGAGGAGCGAAAGCGUGGGGAGCGAACAGG